UACAGAGGUGGCAAGCGUUGUUCGGAAUUACUGGGCGUAAAGGGCGCGCAGGCGGCUUAUUUUGUCAGGCGUGAAAGCCCCGGGCUUAACCUGGGAACUGCGUUUGAUACGGAUGGGCCAGAGUUCGGGAGAGGAGAGUGGAAUUCCCAGUGUAGAGGUGAAAUUCGUAGAUAUUGGGAAGAACACCGGUGGCGAAGGCGGCUCUCUGGACCGAUACUGACGCUGAGGCGCGAAAGCGUGGGGAGCAAACAGG
RNAcentral lists this ribosomal RNA (253 nucleotides) under uncultured bacterium. Its description in RNAcentral is "partial 16S ribosomal RNA". It matches the Rfam family "Bacterial small subunit ribosomal RNA", at positions 524 to 776 of the family's 1533-position model. The record is from RNAcentral.